UACGAAGGGGGCUAGCGUUGCUCGGAAUCACUGGGCGUAAAGCGCACGUAGGCGGCUUUCUAAGUCAGGGGUGAAAUCCUGGAGCUCAGCUCCAGAACUGCCUUUGAUACUGGAGAGCUUGAGUCCGGAAGAGGUGAGUGGAACUCCGAGUGUAGAGGUGAAAUUCGUAGAUAUUCGGAAGAACACCAGUGGCGAAGGCGGCUCACUGGUCCGGUACUGACGCUGAGGUGCGAAAGCGUGGGGAGCAAACAGG
Molecule: ribosomal RNA, 253 nt
Filed under: uncultured bacterium
Lineage: Bacteria
Description: partial 16S ribosomal RNA
Rfam family: Bacterial small subunit ribosomal RNA
Source: RNAcentral